GCAAGGUUGAAACUCAAAGGAAUUGACGGGGGCCCGCACAAGCGGUGGAGCAUGUGGUUUAAUUCGAAGCAACGCGAAGAACCUUACCAGGUCUUGACAUCCUUUGACCACUCUGGAGACAGAGCUUUCCCUUCGGGGACAAAGUGACAGGUGGUGCAUGGUUGUCGUCAGCUCGUGUCGUGAGAUGUUGGGUUAAGUCCCGCAACGAGCGCAACCCUUGAUUUUAGUUGCCAGCAUUUAGUUGGGCACUCUAAAGUGACUGCCGGUGCAAGCCGGAGGAAGGUGGGGAUGACGUCAAAUCAUCAUGCCCCUUAUGACCUGGGCUACACACGUGCUACAAUGGAUAGUACAAAGGGUCGCGAAGCCGCGAGGUGGAGCUAAUCCCAUAAAACUAUUCUCAGUUCGGAUUGUAGGCUGCAACUCGCCUACAUGAAGCCGGAAUCGCUAGUAAUCGUGGAUCAGCAUGCCACGGUGAAUACGUUCCCGGGCCUUGUACACACCGCCCGUCACACCACGAGAGUUUGUAACACCCGAAGUCGGUAGGGUAACCUUUAUGGAGCCAGCCGCCGAAGGUGGGACAGAUAAUUGGGGUGAAGUCGUAACAAGGUAGCCGUAUCGGAAGGUGCGGCUGGAUCACCUCCUUU
This 644-nucleotide ribosomal RNA is filed under the name Listeria monocytogenes. Its description in RNAcentral is "bacterial SSU rRNA". It matches the Rfam family "Bacterial small subunit ribosomal RNA", at positions 888 to 1533 of the family's 1533-position model. The record is from RNAcentral. Lineage: Bacteria; Bacillati; Bacillota; Bacilli; Caryophanales; Listeriaceae.